UACGGAGGGUGCGAGCGUUGUCCGGAAUCACUGGGCGUAAAGGGCGCGUAGGUGGCGCGAGGAGUCUGUGGUGAAAGCCCGAGGCUCAACUUCGGGUCGGCCGCGGAUACUCUCGUGCUGGAGGGUGGUAGAGGCCAAUGGAAUUCCGGGUGUAGCGGUGGAAUGCGUAGAGAUCCGGAAGAACACCGGUGGCGAAGGCGGUUGGCUGGGCCACACCUGACCUGAGCG
This 228-nucleotide ribosomal RNA is filed under the name uncultured bacterium. Its description in RNAcentral is "partial 16S ribosomal RNA". It matches the Rfam family "Bacterial small subunit ribosomal RNA", at positions 524 to 753 of the family's 1533-position model. The record is from RNAcentral.